CCCUUAGAUGUCCUGGGCCGCACGCGCGCUACAAUGAUACACGCAACGAGUCCACCUUGUCCGAAAGGUCCGGGUAAUCUUGGAAAUGUGUAUCGUACUAGGGAUAGAUUAUUGCAAUUAUUAAUCUUGAACGAGGAAUUCCUAGUAAACGCAGUUCAUCAAACUGCAUUGAUUACGUCCCUGCCCUUUGUACACACCGCCCGUCGCACCUACCGAUUGGAUGGUCCGGUGAAGCCUCGGGAUUGUGGCGGUUGCCUUUAUUGGUGGCCGCCGCGAGAACUUGUCUAAACCUUAUCAUCUAGAGGAAGGUGAAGUCGUAACA
Molecule: ribosomal RNA, 322 nt
Filed under: uncultured eukaryote
Lineage: Eukaryota
Description: partial 18S ribosomal RNA
Rfam family: Eukaryotic small subunit ribosomal RNA
Source: RNAcentral